RNAcentral lists this ribosomal RNA (593 nucleotides) under uncultured bacterium. Its description in RNAcentral is "partial 16S ribosomal RNA". The record is from RNAcentral.
CCGUCAAAUUCCUUUGAGUUUCACCCUUGCGRRGCAWACUCCCCCAGGSSGKKGCACUUAUCACGUUAGCUACGGCACAGAGCACGGACGUGCCCCACGCCUAGUGCACAUCGUUUACAGCGUGGACUACCAGGGUAUCUAAUCCUGUUUGCUCCCCACGCUUUCGCGCCUCAGCGUCAGUCCUCUGAUAGAAGCUCGCCUUCGCCACCAGUGUUCUUCCAGAUAUCUACAGAUUUCACCCCUACACCUGGAAUUCCAGCUUCCCCUCAGGAACUCAAGCCCACCAGUUUCCAGCGCAUCUGCAGGGUUAGGCCCUGCAUUUUCACACCAGACUUGAUGAGCCGCCUACACGCCCUUUACGCCCAAUAACUCCGAACAACGCUUGCCCCAUACGUAUUACCGCGGCUGCUGGCACGUAAUUGGCCGGGGCUUAUUCCCUGGCUAACGUCAUCCCAUGGGCUUUCCACUCCCACAGUCAUUCUUCACCAGGAAAAGGACUUUACAACCUUACGGCCUCCAUCGCCCACGCGGCGUCGCUCCGUCAGGGUUUCCCCCAUUGCGGAAGAUUCCUAGCUGCUGCCUCCCGUAGGAGU